UAGUCCACGCCGUAAACGAUGUCUACUUGGAGGUUGUGGCCUUGAGCCGUGGCUUUCGGAGCUAACGCGUUAAGUAGACCGCCUGGGGAGUACGGUCGCAAGAUUAAAACUCAAAUGAAUUGACGGGGGCCCGCACAAGCGGUGGAGCAUGUGGUUUAAUUCGAUGCAACGCGAAGAACCUUACCUACUCUUGACAUCCAGAGAAGCCAGCAGAGAUGCAGGUGUGCCUUCGGGAGCUCUGAGACAGGUGCUGCAUGGCUGUCGUCAGCUCGUGUCGUGAGAUGUUGGGUUAAGUCCCGCAACGAGCGCAACCCUUACCUUUAUUUGCCAGCAUUUAGUUGGGCACUCUAAAGGGACUGCCGACGUUAAGUCGGAGGAAGGUGGGGAUGACGUCAAAUCAUCAUGGCCUUUAUGCCUAGGGCGACACACGUGCUACAAUGGUAAGUACAAAGGGUUGCGAAGCCGCGAGGUGGAGCCGAAUCUCAAAAACGCGGCCUUAGUUCGG
This 505-nucleotide ribosomal RNA is filed under the name uncultured bacterium. RNAcentral describes it as "bacterial SSU rRNA". It matches the Rfam family "Bacterial small subunit ribosomal RNA", at positions 791 to 1296 of the family's 1533-position model. The record is from RNAcentral.